CAGGGAGACAAAAACUGAUCGUGAUGUCUGAGUAUUUUCUUAGGCCAUGAUCCUGUCACCUUAGGUCGAUCGGUACCUCAGCCAGAUUUCAAGAAAGUUUGAUCAAUAAAUUUUGAAAUUGGUCUCAGUUCCUAAACUUGUCUAGAUCACACCCAACAAGGGUACUCCUGGGCCAUUAGCUCAGGUGGUUAGAGCGCACCCCUGAUAAGGGUGAGGUCCCUGGUUCAAGUCCAGGAUGGCCCAUUCGGUGUUGGGGGUAUAGCUCAGUUGGUAGAGCGCCUGCUUUGCAAGCAGGAUGUCAGCGGUUCGAGUCCGCUUACCUCCACUGAUCGACUUCCUGAUGGCGAAUACCGAGGAGUUUUGUUAAGUGUGAUUUAGAGUUGUUUUUUCUGACAUGAACCUAGCUUCCUAUCAUUCCAAAUUCUUUCAAAAGCAAAGAUUUGGCUGACAGCAUGCUGGGCUCUCUACUUUUAUUAAAAGUAGAAGAUGUUCAGUAGAACCUUGAAAACUGCAUAGUGAGUCUGGAAAGAAUAAAGCAUCUCAUGGAUGCAUUAUUCUGACUUUAUAACUAGUUUUGUUUUAAUAAACUAACUAGACUUAAAGAAACGAAUAAUGUUCUAAUUCUUGAGUUAAGAGCUAAGACUCUAUGAUUUCUUUUAUUGUCUUUCAAUAAGAGUCCGAUCAUGUAUUUGAUACAUUAAAUACAUGAGAAAUAAUUUAUAGAGAUAAAU
Molecule: transfer RNA, 731 nt
Filed under: uncultured cyanobacterium
Lineage: Bacteria; Bacillati; Cyanobacteriota
Description: partial contains 16S ribosomal RNA, 16S-23S ribosomal RNA intergenic spacer, and 23S ribosomal RNA
Rfam family: tRNA (bases 253-325)
Source: RNAcentral